Molecule: ribosomal RNA, 770 nt
Filed under: Candidatus Phytoplasma pyri
Lineage: Bacteria; Bacillati; Mycoplasmatota; Mollicutes; Acholeplasmatales; Acholeplasmataceae
Description: bacterial SSU rRNA
Rfam family: Bacterial small subunit ribosomal RNA
Source: RNAcentral
UACCUUUCAGACGAGGAUAACAGUUGGAAACGACUGCUAAGACUGGAUAGGAAGUUUUAAGGCAUCUUGAAACUUUUAAAAGACCCGCAAGGGUAUGCUGAGAGAUGGGCUUGCGGCACAUUAGUUAGUUGGUAAGGUAAUGGCUUACCAAGACCAUGAUGUGUAGCUGGACUGAGAGGUUGAACGGCCACAUUGGGACUGAGAUACGGCCCAAACUCCUACGGGAGGCAGCAGUAAGGAAUUUUCGGCAAUGGAGGAAACUCUGACCGAGCAACGCCGCGUGAACGAUGAAGUAUUUAGGUACGUAAAGUUCUUUUAUUAAAGAAGAAAAAAUGAUGGAAAAAUCAUUCUGACGGUAUUUAAUGAAUAAGCCCCGGCUAACUAUGUGCCAGCAGCUGCGGUAAUACAUGGGGGGCAAGCGUUAUCCGGAUUUAUUGGGCGUAAAGGGUGCGUAGGCGGUUUAAUAAGUCUAUGGUCUAAGUUCAACGCUUAACGUUGUGAUGCUAUAGAAACUGUUUGACUAGAGUUGGAUAGAGGCAAGUGGAAUUCCAUGUGUAGCGGUAAAAUGCGUAAAGAUAUGGAGGAACACCAGUAGCGAAGGCGGCUUGCUGGGUCUUAACUGACGCUGAGGCACGAAAGCGUGGGGAGCAAACAGGAUUAGAUACCCUGGUAGUCCACGCCGUAAACGAUGAGUACUAAGUGUUGGGUUAAACCAGUGCUGAAGUUAACGCAUUAAGUACUCCGCCUGAGUAGUACGUACGCAAGUAUGA